Molecule: ribosomal RNA, 499 nt
Filed under: uncultured bacterium
Lineage: Bacteria
Description: partial 16S ribosomal RNA
Rfam family: Bacterial small subunit ribosomal RNA
Source: RNAcentral
GACGAACGCUGGCGGCGUGCUUAACACAUGCAAGUCGAACGGGCCCGCCCCUGUUUUUGGGGGUGGGUUGAGUGGCGAACGGGUGAGUAUCACGUGAGUAACCUGCCCCCUGCUCCUGGAUAACUGCUUGAAAGGGCGGCUAAUACGGGGUGUGCCGGCUGGUCCGCAUGGGCCUGGUCGGGAUAGUUUCAUCUUCGGGUGUUUCGGUGGGGGAUGGGCUCGCGGCCUAUCAGCUUGUUGGUGGGGUGAUGGCCCACCAAGGCGGUGACGGGUAGCCGGCCUGAGAGGGUGGGCGGCCACACUGGGACUGAGACACGGCCCAGACGCCUGCGGGAGGCAGCAGUGGGGGGUAUUGCACAAUGGGCGGAAGCCUGAUGCAGCGACGUCGCGUGAGGGAUGGAGGCCGUCGGGUUGGGAACCUCUUUCUCCGGUGGUGAAGGCCCUGUCCGUUGCGGCGGGGUUGACGGUAGCCGGGGAUGAAGCGCCGGCUAACUACGUG